UCUUGUAAUUGGAAUGAUGGGAAUUUAAACCUCUUCCAGAGUAUCAAUUGGAGGGCAAGUCUGGUGCCAGCAGCCGCGGUAAUUCCAGCUCCAAUAGCGUAUAUUAAAAUUGUUGCAGUUAAAAAGCUCGUAGUUGAAUUUCUGCUGCAUUGCUUGUGUCCCUCUGGGGUCUGUGCAUGUGGCUUUUUUCGGACGGAGUUUCUUUGUCUGAAUGUUUACUUUGAGAAAAUUAGAGUGCUCAAAGCAGGCUUUCGCCUUGAAUAGUUUAGCAUGGAAUAAUAAAGUAGGACUUUGGUUCUAUUUUGUUGGUUUUAGGUACCAAAGUAAUGGUUAAUAGGAACAGUUGGGGGCAUUCGUAUUUAACUGUCAGAGGUGAAAUUCUUAGAUUUGUUAAAGACGAACUACUGCGAAAGCAUUU
RNAcentral lists this ribosomal RNA (418 nucleotides) under Theileria annulata. Its description in RNAcentral is "SSU rRNA". It matches the Rfam family "Eukaryotic small subunit ribosomal RNA", at positions 501 to 956 of the family's 1831-position model. The record is from RNAcentral. Lineage: Eukaryota; Apicomplexa; Aconoidasida; Piroplasmida; Theileriidae.